UCCCCAUUCCAAACUUCGCAGCAGCAGGAUGCAGACACCGUGGUAGAGGUUGUGCACGGUGCCGGGAGGGUAGGGGGUGCGCGGGAACUCGUCAUACAUGCUGCUCAAUUUUACUGUGAACCUAAAACUAUUUUAAAAAAAUUAAGUCUAUUUUGUUUCAAGUGUAUUUCUGUAUUUUGAGAGACAGAACGAGAGAAGGCGUACCCAUUCGUAGGGGAGGGGCAGAGAGAGAGGGAGACAGAAUAUCCCAAGCAGGUGCCGCACAGGCAGCGUAGAGCCCCAUUCGGGGCUUGACCUCUUGAACCUUUGAGAUCGGGAGAGAACAGGUCUGAAC
Molecule: long non-coding RNA, 334 nt
Organism: Herpailurus yagouaroundi (jaguarundi)
Lineage: Eukaryota; Metazoa; Chordata; Mammalia; Carnivora; Felidae
Exons: 3
Source: RefSeq, a predicted model, not a curated record